ACGAUUUCGGUUUACACCGUUCUCUACCUAUGUCUACGCGUACCACACGUUUCCUCGGGGGGCUUGCCCCCCGUUAGGACUCCACAUCAACCUUUUUGCAAUAGCAGUCAGCGUCUGAUAACUAAGUUAAUUAUUA
This 136-nucleotide unclassified non-coding RNA is filed under the name uncultured Rhizopycnis. Its description in RNAcentral is "sequence contains ITS1". The record is from RNAcentral. Lineage: Eukaryota; Fungi; Ascomycota.